AGCAGCCGCGGUAAUUCCAGCUCCAAUAGCGUAUAUUAAAGUUGUUGCAGUUAAAAGCUCGUAGUUGAAUUUCGGGAUCAGUACGCUGGUCGUGCCUUCGGUAUGUACUGGUGUCACUGAUUCCUCCCUUCUGAAGAACCAUCAUGCCAUUCACUUGGUGUGGUGGGGAAUCAGGACUGUUACUUUGAAAAAAUUAGAGUGUUUAAAGCAGGCUCGCGCUUGAAUACAUUAGCAUGGAAUAAUGAAAUAGGACGUUAAUCCUAUUUUGUUGGUUUCUAGGAUCGACGUAAUGAUUAAUAGGGAUAGUUGGGGGCAUUAGUAUUCAAUUGUCAGAGGUGAAAUUCUUGGAUUUAUUGAAGACUAACUAACUGCGAAAAGCAUUUGCCAAGGAUGUUUUCAUUAAUCAAAGAACGAAAAGUUAGGGGGAUCGAAAGACGAUCAGAUACCGUCGUAGUCUUAACCAUAAAACUAUGCCGACUAGGGAUCGG
Molecule: ribosomal RNA, 488 nt
Filed under: uncultured Glomus
Lineage: Eukaryota; Fungi; Glomeromycota; Glomeromycetes; Glomerales; Glomeraceae
Description: SSU rRNA
Rfam family: Eukaryotic small subunit ribosomal RNA
Source: RNAcentral